UACGGAGGGGGCUAGCGUUGUUCGGAAUUACUGGGCGUAAAGCGCGCGUAGGCGGCUUUGUAAGUUAGAGGUGAAAGCCCGGGGCUCAACUCCGGAAUUGCCUUUAAGACUGCAUCGCUAGAAUUGUGGAGAGGUAAGCGGAAUUUCCGGUGUAGCGGUGAAAUGCGUAGAUAUCGGAAGGAACAUCAGUGGCGAAAGCGGCUUCCUGGACCAGAACUGACGAUCAGGCUCGAAAGCGUGGGGAGCAAACAGG
Molecule: ribosomal RNA, 253 nt
Filed under: uncultured bacterium
Lineage: Bacteria
Description: partial 16S ribosomal RNA
Rfam family: Bacterial small subunit ribosomal RNA
Source: RNAcentral